CGCUAAUCCCCAUUUCCCCUCGCUGCGCCAACCCCAACCACUCCGGCAUUCCGCCCCCGUCGAAGCUUCGAGGAGCUAGCUAGGGCUUCCCAUCCCGAUGGCCGCCGUGAAGCCCUCGCCGCCGCCGGUGCCGGCGCAGAUCGUCGUCGUGGUGCUCGCGCUCGCGCGCGUCGUCCUCGCCCUGAUGCUGGCGCUCGGCCGCGGCCGAAGCGCUCCCCUACCUGGGCUUCGCGGCUCUGUGGGUCAUCUCCGCGGCCGCGGCUGCCAGGGUCGUGGGGAGCCGAGCCUGGGACGAGGGCUCCGCCCCCGCCGUGUUUCUCCAGGCGCUCACAGGCGGGGCUCUCAAGGCCAGCUUCCUUGUCCUGCAAGCGCUUGGCGCCGUGAUGCUGUGCGGCCAGUUCCUGCUCUACGUGGUUGCAGCUGUAUCUGGAUCCGGUUCAGAGUUCCAGAAGGCCCCUCGUUGUGGUUUUGCUGAAUUUGCUGCCCCCCUCAGAGAGGCCAUGGAGCUUUCAACCAGGAGUUGAUUAGGGGCGUUCCUCCCCGCACUGCAGUCCUUGGAACGUUCGCGUCUACGCCCUUCAUCCUGCUAAUUUUAGCCGGUUCUCUGGUGCAAUGCAUGAUGUCGAAAAAGAUUGGUUCUGUGAUGGUGGAUGUGGGGAUAUUUGGCUCCAGUGCGAUACCUUGCUUUGUGGUCAUUCCAGCUGUAGUACUGAGUAACUGGAGGGAGGACCAGAUGUCAAAGAAAAACAUGACUCACAUUGCAGACUGUUGAGACAUAACACUGAAUGGAAGGUGUGAAGAUGGGCAAGGCAAAUUACAAGAGCUGACUCUUUGCUGAAGUUUAUGGCCGCUGAUGAGUUCUGGGUUAUAGUUAUCUGUAGACAUGACUGUAGAUUGGUCCACCGCUAGUAUUGUAUACUCCACGUGUUACGAGCUCCUGUAAUUCGACAUCGUAGUGUUCUAGUGUUUACUUGCUGCUGGGAGGUCGGGAGUACGAGACCAGAUAAUUAACGAGGGGUAUAAAUAACACCCUCCCGGAGGAGAAUGCUUUUCUAGGCGUGUAGAAUUUGCCAUGUUUGCACUUAUGCUGGGUGACUACUAUUUCUUUGCAAGUCAAUGGCCCAUCAACAUCUCUUAGCUAUAAAGGUUGUUCAACAUUUCUCGUCUGUCUGAAAUUUCUGCCUAGGAGUCUGUCUGAAAUUUCUGCCUAGGAGCAUCGACGUGAGGACAACGUAGGAUCUUCUCACCAGUCACCACUGACAAAUCCGCCUUGUUUAUGGUAUUCUCAGUUUUACUGUAUCGCCAGUUUGCAAUCAACAUUGUUAUGGAUUACAUAUGACUGGCAAUUUUACAUAGUUGUCCCAAGUUUCCAUUUGUCAACAAACGAUGAAGGCAAUUCUCAUACAUGCAUGAUGGACUGUGGUCCAUAUAAUCAUUUUUUCAGUACA
Molecule: RNA transcript, 1448 nt
Organism: Aegilops tauschii subsp. strangulata
Lineage: Eukaryota; Viridiplantae; Streptophyta; Magnoliopsida; Poales; Poaceae
Source: RefSeq, a predicted model, not a curated record